Molecule: non-coding RNA, 21 nt
Organism: Caenorhabditis elegans
Lineage: Eukaryota; Metazoa; Nematoda; Chromadorea; Rhabditida; Rhabditidae
Source: Ensembl
UGGAUAGUUUUUUUGGACACU